RNAcentral lists this long non-coding RNA (2314 nucleotides) under Mus musculus (house mouse). RNAcentral describes it as "long non-coding RNA chr16:32981904-32984218". The record is from RNAcentral. Lineage: Eukaryota; Metazoa; Chordata; Mammalia; Rodentia; Muridae.
GUUUGAAAAAGCAAUUCAGCUUAAUUCUUUCUUUCUUCAAACUUAGUAAUAAGUGAAUUGAUUUUAUUUUGUGCAAAUCCAAAUAUAAUGAAGAUAUUUGGCUUAUGUGAACCUUAAAGGCUAUUUUAAACUAGAUCAGUCUGCCUUUGUUCUAACACCAUCUUUAAAAAGAGUGAAAUUACUUGGUUCCAAAUCCAGUGUUUAUUCAAGCAUAGAAAAUGGAAAGAUUUUCAGAAACCCUGUAUUUACUUCUUCCUUCUACAUAGACAGUCUUUCCACCAUGCUUAAGGUCUCCCUUCCUCUAAACCAGCUCAAUGCUGUUUUCAUUGUAGAAUUCCAAAAUGAUUCUGCUAUAAACUGCAUCACAGUAGUUAAUUUUUUUGUCUUUGAUCUUUGUGAAUGAAAUCUUUAAAAAAAAAUUAGUAGAUUUGAUAUAUCUGGGGUUUUUUUGUUUAUUUGUUUUUUAAGUCAUGGUUCCUCUAUGUAGCCCUGGCUGUCUUGAAACUCACUGUGUAGACCAGGCUGGCCUUGAACUCAGAGAUAUGUCUGUUCUUAAAUCAUAGGAAAUUUACUAUGUAGCAUCUAUCAUUCAUCCAUAGGUCUUUAUACCAAAUAGCAUGCUAAUGUUGUCCCAGGAACUAUGAAUGAAGUAGCUGGAAUAAAGAAAAUGUACUUAUGGGGCUAGAGUUGGCUCAACAGUUAAGAGCACUGACUGCUCUUCCAGAGAUCCUAAGUUCAAUUCCCAGCAACCACACGGUGGCUCACAACCAUCUGUAAUGAGAUCUGAUUCCCCCUUCUGGGGUGUCUGAAGAUAGCUACAGUGUACUUAAAUAAAAUAAAUCUUUAAAAAAAAACAUAGUGAAAACAUAUUUUUAAAAAAGGUAAAAAGAAAAAUGUAGUUGUAUAGAUACUGUAAGUGUUACAGCUCUAAGGGGAAAGGUAUCCUGAUAGUUGAGAGCCAAGGAAUACCAAAGUCAUACCUUACAACAAAACUCGCACACAGAUUUAUAGGAGAGAGGGUGCCUUCCUCUGCUUGGGAGAGAAGCAGCAAAAAAUCUGGGCAGGAGGCAGGCUUUAUUUAGGGUUCCUUGGCAGCAGAGCUUUCUAGGGUACCCUGGGAUUGGGGGCAUUUUAUGGCUUGAUCUUGGGCUUUUUUUUUUUUUUUCUGUAGGGCAGGGUCUGGCCACACACCUGCCUUGAAGGACUGAAAGGGUCAUUAUGGCCGUUGGAGAAGACUGAGAGCCAAUGCCCCAGAAUCAGUCAUCAUAAUACAAAAACUUUAAAGGCAUAAAGUAGACCAAUGUUCCUCAACAAGAUUCAGCUCCCCUCCUUCGAGGCUGUUUGAAAAUGUAUCAAUUCCUUAUGGGAAUCAGUUCCCAGCAUCACUAUAGGUGCUAGAGGCUGGCCACCUCUGCCAUGAGAGACACUCUUAAAGAAUGCCUUACGUGAAUGUGGGUGAUGCUGUUGCUGAGAGGCAGCCCUAAGUCAAAAGCUCAUGGGCAUGAAGGAGGGACAGGGCUGCGGUGGCCCACGAGCACCACGCGGUCACCUACACUGGCUCUCACACACACCGUGCUUCCUUCCUUCAGUCUCCAUCCUUAACUUCUCACAGCUCAGUUGUUGACAUCGCAGGUGCGUGCUUCAUCGGGGUGUGUGCUGCUCCCCUUCUAGCCCCAGAGUACCUCCCCUCUCUGCGUGUCUGCUGAGUGGCCAUGACAGAGUAGGAAGAGCUCCAACUGCUCACCAGGAAAGUGGGUUCUAGUGCAGGCUCAGCACGUGCAGCUACCAUCCAGACGCAAAGGGCUCAUUUUUCGAAGUUGUAAAAGUAGUGGCUUAUGCCAAGCGUGGUGGCACACUCCUUUAAUCCCAGCACUUGGGAGACAGAGGCAGGCGGAUUUCUGAGUUCGAGGCCAGCCUGGUCUACAGAGUGAGUUCCAGGAUAGCUAGAGCUAAUCAGAGAAACCCUGUCUCGGAAAAAAAAAAAACAAAAAACAAAACAAAAAAGUAGUGGCUUAUGCAGCACCAGCACGGUACCUGAAGUCCCUUCAGUUCUCAUAGAUUGCAUGGUAGUUGAGAACAUAAAAUCCAACAAGAUUCACACCUAACUCUACAAUUUAUUAACUAUGUCACCUUUGGAAAGUAACUUUGUUUCUAUCUCGUACUCCUCAACUGAGGACUGUAGGGCCUCUUCAUUGGUAGGUUGUUGUGAGGCGCCUUCACAGUGUGGGAGAUGCAUAGUACAGUCAGUGGGUGUGAACUAGCACAUGGUAAGAACUCAAUCAGUGUUUGUUUCUGCUUGUCCCAGAGGGUGUUC